Molecule: ribosomal RNA, 253 nt
Filed under: uncultured bacterium
Lineage: Bacteria
Description: partial 16S ribosomal RNA
Rfam family: Bacterial small subunit ribosomal RNA
Source: RNAcentral
UACAGAGGGUGCGAGCGUUAAUCGGAAUCACUGGGCUUAAAGCGUUCGUAGGCGGGCUUGCAGGCGCGUUGUGAAAGCCCCCGGCUCAACCGGGGAACUGCUUCGCGAACCGCAAGUCUUGAGUCAAGUAGGGGCGGUCGGAACGAUAGGUGGAGCGGUGAAAUGCGUAGAUAUCUAUCGGAACGCCAAAGGUGAAGACAGGCCGCUGGGCUUGUACUGACGCUGAGGAACGAAAGCGUGGGGAGCAAACGGG